CCUACGGGGGGCUGCAGUGGGGAAUAUUGCACAAUGGGCGCAAGCCUGAUGCAGCCAUGCCGCGUGUGUGAAGAAGGCCUUCGGGUUGUAAAGCACUUUCAGCGGGGAGGAAGGCGGUGAGGUUAAUAACCUCAUCGAUUGACGUUACCCGCAGAAGAAGCACCGGCUAACUCCGUGCCAGCAGCCGCGGUAAUACGGAGGGUGCAAGCGUUAAUCGGAAUUACUGGGCGUAAAGCGCACGCGGGCGGUCUGUCAAGUCGGAUGUGAAAUCCCCGGGCUCAACCUGGGAACUGCAUUCGAAACUGGCAGGCUAGAGUCUUGUAGAGGGGGGUAGAAUUCCAGGUGUAGCGGUGAAAUGCGUAGAGAUCUGGAGGAAUACCGGUGGCGAAGGCGGCCCCCUGGACAAAGACUGACGCUCAGGUGCGAAAGCGUGGGGAGCAAACAGGAUUAGAUACCCCGGUAGUC
Molecule: ribosomal RNA, 465 nt
Filed under: uncultured Klebsiella sp.
Lineage: Bacteria; Pseudomonadati; Pseudomonadota; Gammaproteobacteria; Enterobacterales; Enterobacteriaceae
Description: bacterial SSU rRNA
Rfam family: Bacterial small subunit ribosomal RNA
Source: RNAcentral